RNAcentral lists this ribosomal RNA (440 nucleotides) under uncultured bacterium. RNAcentral's name for it is "partial 16S ribosomal RNA". It matches the Rfam family "Bacterial small subunit ribosomal RNA", at positions 338 to 795 of the family's 1533-position model. The record is from RNAcentral.
CCUACGGGAGGCAGCAGUGGGGAAUAUUGCACAAUGGGGGAAACCCUGAUGCAGCGACGCCGCGUGAGUGAAGAAGUAAUUCGUUAUGUAAAGCUCUAUCAGCAGGGAAGAAAAUGAAGGUACCUGAGUUAGAAGCCCCGGCUAACUACGUGCCAGCAGCCGCGGUAAUACGUAGGGGGCCAGCGUUAUCCGGAUUUACUGGGUGUAAAGGGAGCGUAGACGGCAGUGCAAGUCUGGAGUGAAAGGCGGGGGCUCAACCCCCGGACUGCUCUGGAAACUGUACGGCUGGAGUGCAGGAGAGGUAAGUGGAAUUCCUAGUGUAGCGGUGAAAUGCGUAGAUAUUAGGAGGAACACCAGUGGCGAAGGCGGCCUACUGGACUGUAACUGACGUUGAGGCUCGAAAGCGUGGGGAGCAAACAGGAUUAGAUACCCCUGUAGUC